Molecule: ribosomal RNA, 464 nt
Filed under: Weissella confusa
Lineage: Bacteria; Bacillati; Bacillota; Bacilli; Lactobacillales; Lactobacillaceae
Description: bacterial SSU rRNA
Rfam family: Bacterial small subunit ribosomal RNA
Source: RNAcentral
CCUACGGGAGGCAGCAGUCGAGAAUUUUUCUCAAUGGGGGAAACCCUGAAGGAGCGACGCCGCGUGGGGGAUGAAUGGCUUCGGCCCGUAAACCCCUGUCAUCUGCGAGCAAUAUCUGCUACUUAAAAGGUGGCAGAUUGAUAGUAGCGGAAGAGGAAGGGACGGCUAACUCUGUGCCAGCAGCCGCGGUAAUACAGAGGUCCCAAGCGUUGUUCGGAUUUACUGGGCGUAAAGGGUGCGUAGGUGGCAUAUAUAGUCUGAUGUGAAAUCUUGAAGCUUAACUUCGAAACUGCAUUGGAAACUUAUGUGCUAGAGUAGUGUAGGGGAGACUGGAAUGCUCGGUGUAGCAGUGAAAUGCGUAGAUAUCGAGCGGAACACCAGUGGCGAAGGCGAGUCUCUGGACACUCACUGACACUGAGGCACGAAAGCCAAGGGAGCAAACGGGAUUAGAUACCCCUGUAGUC